RNAcentral lists this transfer RNA (75 nucleotides) under Caudoviricetes sp. RNAcentral's name for it is "tRNA-Lys". It matches the Rfam family "tRNA". From Rfam's summary of the family: Transfer RNA (tRNA) molecules are approximately 80 nucleotides in length. Their secondary structure includes four short double-helical elements and three loops (D, anti-codon, and T loops). Lineage: Duplodnaviria; Heunggongvirae; Uroviricota; Caudoviricetes. The record is from RNAcentral.
GACUCAUUAGCCAAGAGGUAAGGCACUUGACUUUUAAUCAAGGUAUCCGGAGUUCGAAUCUCCGAUGGGUCACCA